GUGAGGUGCCUGAUAAAAGGUUAAUUUUGAUAGAAUUACUAAUGUAUAAAUAUACCCUCACAAU
RNAcentral lists this transfer RNA (64 nucleotides) under Coleoptera sp. ACP-2013. Its description in RNAcentral is "tRNA-Ile". The record is from RNAcentral. Lineage: Eukaryota; Metazoa; Arthropoda; Insecta; Coleoptera.